UUUGAAUUGUUCCAGUUAGGGUUUGUGUUAGUGAACUAGGGUGUGAGGAUAAGAUCCAUUGUGUUCGAGGCUUGGUUGAGCCCAAAACGUGAAGCCAAGAGGGAUAAGGGAUAAGGACACAACUCAUUCUUCACUCAAAAUUCCAAAACAAUUUCCUCUUAAGUCCAUCACUGGAGCAUCGAUCUUGCCACACUGAAAAUCGCUUCCAGCGGCGCCAGAGGUUCAAGUGACCUCAAACUUAUCCCAACUUGCUCGCCUCCAAUCCUCUCUCACAAUAUCAAGCUAAUAUAUAAGCUCCUAACCAUUUCACCAAAUUGGUCAAAACAAACCAUGUACCUUAGGUUAAAGAAACUGAAAUUAAAUGGAAUUGAGGAGGAAUCAGAGCCCGAUAUGUUGGGGCUUUUAUUCCUCAUGCUUGAGUCUACAUGAUGAUAACUUACUUGAGGCAAAAAAUAAUAGGGAAUGAAAAACUACUAACCUACAAGGUCGAGGUUCACCCAGGUAAUUGCUAAAGGUUGAAGAAGAUGCUUACGAAGAUAAAACCAGAGGUAUUAACAGGUUUUGUGCAACUAGUUGCUUGGUAUGGAAAGGUUUGAAAUAAGGUUUUGAUCAAGGCAUGAAACCAAGACAUGAAUCAAGGAACAAGUUAUGGUUCAUCAACAAGGUUUUUCCUUGGAACACACCAAAAGUCAUGAAAGGCUUGAAGACUUAGAGGCACCAACAUGAGAUGGCUUGUGAAGAAGUAAGAUAUGAUCUAGGUUUAGGUGGUUGACUUUGGUCAAAUGUUGAUAAAAAAAGUCAAUAGUUGACCAAAGUCAACUUUAGGUCAACAAUGUAUAUUUUUGUGUAGAAUUGGAUUUCGAAAUAUUUGUAAGGGAACUUUGGGUGAUUUGUAAUGAAAUCCUUGAAUUGAAUUAUAUGUCUUGUACUUCAAGAAAGUUCUUUUUCCCUUCAAGUUUGCA
Lathyrus oleraceus (garden pea) is the source of this 962-nucleotide long non-coding RNA. RefSeq lists it as uncharacterized. NCBI's taxonomy places the organism in Eukaryota, Viridiplantae, Streptophyta, Magnoliopsida, Fabales, Fabaceae. The record is from RefSeq and is a predicted model, not a curated record. The transcript has 2 exons.